This is a long non-coding RNA of Alligator sinensis (Chinese alligator), 1713 nucleotides long. RefSeq lists it as uncharacterized. The record is from RefSeq and is a predicted model, not a curated record. The transcript has 5 exons. Lineage: Eukaryota; Metazoa; Chordata; Crocodylia; Alligatoridae.
ACUCUCCCAACUUUGCCUCAAGUACUGCAGCAUGGAUAUUAUAGUCAUGAAAUGAAUGUCCCUGGGAAGAAAACAGAUAUACUCAGUAACCUACCCUAUGGCACUGAGCUUUGUAUUACAAAGAGCAGGAGAGAAUGAGGAACUUUGCAAAGGGUGUUUAUGAAUAGCUGCUAUGCAAACUAGAAAAAACAAGUCAUCUGAGAAAGAGAAGGAACAUUGACUGCUUUGACAACUGCCUUACCAUUGCUAAGGAAACCGCUCCCUUGGUAACCAUGCCACUGGCAGGUCAACUAACAAGAGAAGAAUGACUGGCAACAGGCUAGAAACUACAAUGGGCUGGCGUGUUUACAGCUCCAUCAACAGCUCAGUGUUAAUGAACUGAGUCUUAAAAUUACCUCUCUAUUGAUGAUGGCUUGAAUGUAGCACAUGUAUUUAAAGGAGGCAGUCAAAGUCCUAUAAACCACAAUCCACCCCCCAACUGCACUACUCUCGUUUUGCUACCUUCACGACUGGCAAGGAUCUCAGCGUUACAACUCAAAUGCCCUGGGGUUGCCUGUUAAUGCAACAAGAUGAGGAUGGGAAAUACGUACGAGUAAACCCGGUGGUGUCGAUGAUGCUUUGGCUGAAUGAAAUGGGAACAGACUGGAGAAGAGUCUCUGGAGGAUAUCGGGCUAGGACUUCCUGUUUACCAGUGAGAUAGGCCAGAAGCUUUUCCAGACUGGCUUCAUUUUCUUCAUCAAGGCACAAGCUACAGUUUCUUGGGGACUCUUAGAGCAGUAUUGCUGCAUGCAUUUUAAUCUGUGAUGUAGGCAUCUCAUGCAAAGAUCUGCUUUCUUCAAAGUCCGUGGCACCUAACCGCACACCACUCUCAGUGAUGUCCUGUAGAUACAUUUUUUAUGAUGUUUAGGGGCAGCUUUCUUGGGUAGGGGAGCUUUCACUGCUCCAGGAAUAGUCUAGUUAUACAACACAGUUACUUAUCAGACUAGUUCAGGGGUGGGCAAUUAUUUUGGGCAGAGAGCCACUUACUGAGUUUUGGCAAGCCAUCGAGGGGUGCAUGACAGGCAGCCAGGGGCAGAUAAAUAUUAAUUUUCUAAAUUUUUUAGGGGCCCCGCGGGCCAAAUAGAAUGGCCUGGCAGGCUGCAUCCGGCCCCUGGGCCGCAUUUUGCCCACCCUUGCUCUAGCUGAAAAGGCUGUUGAAACCUACAGCUCUUAUGAGCUUUUGGUAACCAGCUGUUGAAUACUUCCCCUAAAAAUUUAGAUCAGUAAAUCCACGUUUUUGCUGGUUACAACACCCAUCCUGUUCAGAAUAAGGAAAACCAGAUUAAUUAUUUUAAGCACAAUGCCCUGGUUAUAUAGUGAAAACUGUAGUAUAUUUUAAAACAAUAGAUACCGUUUGUAAAAUAAUAAAUUUAUGAGCAAGAAAAGGUGGCCCUUUAUUUGUGAAACAAAGGCUUUUAAACAAUUUGGCGAAGCACAAAAAGUGUACCCUGUUGAAGACAGACUGUGGAAACGUUAACAUCCUUUUGAGGUAAAUCAAGUAAUGGACUGUUGGCCUAUUUUUCAAACCACUUCUCCUCAGUAACUUGACAUUUGAUAGGAUUAUCUAUUACAGUUGGAUUUUGGUUGACUCUCUGGUAUGCCUGAGAAGAUUGUCAUCUUGUGAUUUAAAGAUAAUAGAGCCAAGCAUGUGAAACUGCACACAAAGAAUAAACC